AGUCAUAUGCUUGUCUCAAAGAUUAAGCCAUGCAUGUCUCAGUACAAGCCACAUUAAGGUGAAACCGCGAAAGGCUCAUUAAAUCAGUUAUGGUUCCUUAGAUUGUACCCACAUUUACUUGGAUAACUGUGGUAAUUCUAGAGCUAAUACAUGCAAAUAGCAUCUCCGACCGGAGACGGAAGGAGAGCUUUUAUUAGAUCAAAACCAAUCGGCGGCGGCUUCGGUCGUCGUCGUACAAUUUGGUGACUCUGAAUAACUUUAGGCUGAUCGCACGGUCUAGCACCGGCGACGCGUCUUUCAAAUGUCUGCCUUAUCAACUGUCGAUGGUAGGUUUUGCGCCUACCAUGGUUGUAACGGGUAACGGGGAAUCAGGGUUCGAUUCCGGAGAGGGAGCCUGAGAAACGGCUACCACAUCCAAGGAAGGCAGCAGGCGCGCAAAUUACCCACUCCCGGCACGGGGAGGUAGUGACGAAAAAUAACGAUACGGGACUCAUCCGAGGCCCCGUAAUCGGAAUGAGUACACUCUAAAUCCUUUAACGAGGAUCAAUUGGAGGGCCAGUCUGGUGCCAGCAGCCGCGGUAAUUCCAGCUCCAAUAGCGUAU
RNAcentral lists this ribosomal RNA (602 nucleotides) under Tachyporus hypnorum. RNAcentral's name for it is "SSU rRNA". It matches the Rfam family "Eukaryotic small subunit ribosomal RNA", at positions 22 to 602 of the family's 1831-position model. Lineage: Eukaryota; Metazoa; Arthropoda; Insecta; Coleoptera; Staphylinidae. The record is from RNAcentral.